GGAGAAUUUGUGGAUAUUUCUGAGUCUAAACAUUACUUUAAGAUUUUUAUUGACACUUCUGGUUUCUCUUGUCAUAGCACAAUGAAGUUUCUACAAGUGGAAUUGUUAAGGAUGACCUAAGAUUUACAAUGACUCAAGGAAGGUUUUCCAAUUUGGUGUUACUCUUAAUAGAAUGCAAACUAUAGGAAAGUCUGGAUCACAACAGUGUAGUUAAGUGAUCUCACUGAAAUUAAGAGAAUGAAGUUAUGGAAUAGAUCUAUAAUAAUUUAUCAAUUGUGUACAUAUCUUUAUUUUAUUACUUAUUCACAUGUUUCCAUCCCAUAAACAUAAUGCCAAAAUAGGUGCAUUACUAAUGAAAUCCAGCAGUCUUUGAUAUUUUGAUGAAAGUUAAGUAAUAAACUCAUUGAUUUCCACAUGCUAUUUUUUUGGAAGCAUCAGAGAUGGUAAGUAGGUGAAACCAAGAAACUGGUUCUAGACCAUGGAUGAACUAGAAAGCUGUGUUAGGAAGCACCCUAAGACAGUGACUUCACUCAUGAGUAAAACACUUCAAUUAGCAUCGUUUUCGAUAAAUUUGUAACUUCUAAUUCUUUAGUCAUAUGAUAUCUGGUGCUUAUACAUGGGCCUUCUUCGUAAUUGUUAGACUUGCUAUAUUACUAAAUAUCUGGAAAUGUCUUUUUGUUGCCUUCACAUAUCAUCUACUUGGCUAUUGAGUUCUUUGCUUUUCUAUUUUGGGAGGAGAUAUGAUGCGAAUCUGAAAAUUUCUUAUUUCACUCAAUUUAUGGAACAAUUACUUAUCAC
RNAcentral lists this long non-coding RNA (798 nucleotides) under Marmota monax (woodchuck). The record is from RNAcentral. Lineage: Eukaryota; Metazoa; Chordata; Mammalia; Rodentia; Sciuridae.